RNAcentral lists this long non-coding RNA (1756 nucleotides) under Betta splendens (Siamese fighting fish). RNAcentral describes it as "lncRNA (ENSBSLG00000010608.1)". The record is from RNAcentral. Lineage: Eukaryota; Metazoa; Chordata; Actinopteri; Anabantiformes; Osphronemidae.
AUUACAUUCAUAACAAUAUGUCACUAAUUUGAGAUUGAGUUAGUACUUUAUUAGUUCUUCUACAAAUAUAUUGUUUUUGUUAUAUACAAACAUAUAGUGAAACUAUUUAUUACGAGUAUAUUAUCAGAAUAGCUGAUGACAACAAAUAAAAUAAGUAAUAUCUAUUAAACAGUAUCAUAAUAUAAUAGCCCCUAACCAAAAAUAAAAAAACACCUAAUUUACAUGAAGCCCUUCUAAUAAUCAUCACCACCCAUUAUUUAAAUUCCUUUGGUGGCUAUCGCCUUCAUCGCUGCAGCGUCACACAGUGACCCGGCCUCUCUGGGAGGUUUGAACGUGACUCAUCAGCAUGUGGCCUCGCCUCCAGGCUCUUAUAGCCUCUCACCUACAGUCACAGGCAGCCACACUACAGUUCACCACCAGAGCAGGGCUGUAGCAACACAACUGUUUGUGGAGAGAAACCACAAAGCGAACACACAACGAUGAGUUCCAGCCUGCAGGCUCUCGUUAUAUGUUUACUGUUGGGUUGUGCACAAAGCACACCAAACCCACCUGCCACACUAACGUCAUCCUCAGUGAGCAUCAGUUCAACCCUCAGUACCAAAGCAACAACCAGCACUGAGGAAAGCCCUUCAGGUCCAGCACCAUCCACUUCUACACUGUCCUCCACAAGCCUGAGUUCUUCUGCAACGACGACUAAGAGCAUCACCACUACCCCCCCCACUGACACCAUCAGCACCACAGCCAUCAGCACCACAGCCAUCAGCAACACAGCCAUCAGCACCACAGCCAUCAGCAACACCAGCACCACUGACAACAGCACCAUCAGCACCACAGCCAUCAGCAACACCAGCACCACUGACAACAGCACCAUCAGCACCACAUCCAUCAGCACCACAUCCAUCAGCACCACAGCCAUCAGCAACACCAGCACCAGCACCACUGACAACAGCACCAUCAGAACCACAGCCAUCAGCAACACCAGCACCACUGACAACAGCACCAUCAGCACCACAGCCAUCAGCACCACAGCCAUCAGCACCACCUCUAUCACUAACCCUCCUCAUACUACUACCAACGUUGCCCAGUCCACAAGCACAACUAGUUUCACCACCAUCACUACCACAAAGGAACAGGAAGGACACAAGUCUGAUGCUCUGAGCUCAGACAUACAGGUAGAUCGUACGGGCCCCUUAUGGAAAGCAGCUCGCUGGGAAACUUCAGCAACCCCAUGUACGACCCCUGAAUCUUGACUUGGCAAUGAAGACUCUCCAGUCUGCAGAUGGAGGUGUUCUAAGAUACAAAACAAUUGUUGUGUUGCUGGUUUAGCUCACGUAGCUUUUCAAUUUUUCCAAGAUACUAUAAAAUGACUGCUACGAGUUGUCAGAUCAGGAAGAUAACGUUCAUAAGAUGUGUUAGUUCUGAAGAAGCGUGAAAGGAAUGAAACAUGUUGCACGUUGGUGAAGUCCUUCCUGUGUGGUUUGUCAAAAUGAGAACGACAAAUGAGGAGAUGAGAAUUAAGGCUGGAAAAAAUAUAUUAUUAUGUUACUGUAUGCAUAAUGUUUAAUUAAACUAAUUUCUGUGACGUAUCUCAGAUGCUUCUCGUUUAAAACAUGACCAUUAAAAUGUGAGAUGGAGAAACGUGUUUUUAAUUGAAUGUUAAGGUUUUAAAUCCUUCACUGGCUGCGCUUGUUUUUUAUGGUCUGAUGUGAAUGUAAGACAUGUUUUGGUGCAAUAAAGCAAUAAAGGAUACUGUGCA